ACGAACGCUGGCGGCGCGCCUAAUACAUGCAAGUCGAGCGAGAAGACGUAGCAAUACGUUUGUAAAGCGGCGAACGGGUGAGGAAUACAUGGGUAACCUACCCUCGAGUGGGGAAUAACUAGCCGAAAGGUUAGCUAAUACCGCGUACGCUCCUUGGACUUCGGUUCAGGGAGGAAAGCGAUACCGUGGGUAUCGCGCUCUUGGAUGGGCUCAUGUCCUAUCAGCUUGUUGGUGAGGUAACGGCUCACCAAGGCUUCGACGGGUAGCUGGUCUGAGAGGACGAUCAGCCACACUGGCACUGCGACACGGGCCAGACUCCUACGGGAGGCAGCAGUAAGGAAUAUUGCGCAAUGGGCGAAAGCCUGACGCAGCGACGCCGCGUGGGGGA
Molecule: ribosomal RNA, 388 nt
Filed under: uncultured bacterium
Lineage: Bacteria
Description: bacterial SSU rRNA
Rfam family: Bacterial small subunit ribosomal RNA
Source: RNAcentral